Molecule: long non-coding RNA, 905 nt
Organism: Ananas comosus (pineapple)
Lineage: Eukaryota; Viridiplantae; Streptophyta; Magnoliopsida; Poales; Bromeliaceae
Exons: 2
Source: RefSeq, a predicted model, not a curated record
UAAAGCGUCACAAUAUUGGGGAUGAGAGGUGGCGACAGGGGUUCGAGGCAUGAGGUGGCGAAUGAUGGCAGGGGAAGGGAGCAAAGAAAGUAGAGAGAGAGAGAGAGAGAGAGAGAGAGAGAGUAGGUAGGUCGUGGUGUUUGACAAUGGCACCAGAAUUCAUGAACUGGAGUAUCCAGUACGUUGGAAAUUCAUCUGUAGGAUCGAGCAGAAGUUUGGCAUAUUUAGCAAACUGGAUGCUUGCACUUUUGUCGUAAAUGCUUAUGAUGAAGUAUAGUCACAGGUUGUUCUUCCCAUGGUAAUCAUUUUGCCACUAUUGCAACUGCCUUCUAUCCUAAGGUAUGUUAACAUGAUUAGAUACUGCAUUUCUUCACUUUUUUCCUUACAAUUGUUUGUUUUUAAUUACUUAGAGUUGCACCUGGAGCUUAGUUGAUUUCCUUCAAGAUCGGAGACACUCUUAGGCUUGAUGGAAACACGAAUUGGUUUGGUUCAGACAUUAUUUGCCGCAGUGAAGGCAAUUAGUUUAUUUCCAGAUUUUGGUUUACAAAAUGAAAUUGAGGACACUUAAGAUUUUAGAUACUAUCAAUAAUUUACUUUUCCAUGCUAAAUAAUGCUAUAAAUAUUUUGGCUGAAGUGAUGAUUCAGUAUUACAUAAGCAGCGGUUGCAGCGGCAGCAGCAGCACUAGCAGCAUAAUCAAUAGAAAAGAAGAAGAUAAAGAAUAAGAAGAAGAAGAAGAAGAAAAAGAACAAGCAAGUAGUAGCAGCACCACAAAUUGUGUAGCAUGCAUCUAUGGUAUGUUGAUUUUCCAAAUAUUCUAAUAUGCAAGCUCUAUAUAAACUUAAGACUAUUGAAUAUGUGCUAUAAUUAUCUUACAUACAUUGAUUUUAAUUUUAAUUCUUUGUUA